UACGGAGGGUGCGAGCGUUAAUCGGAAUUACUGGGCGUAAAGCGCGCGUAGGCGGUUUGUUAAGUCGGAUGUGAAAGCCCCGGGCUCAACCUGGGAACUGCACCCGAUACUGGCCGACUUGAGUGCGAGAGAGGGAGGUAGAAUUCCAUGUGUAGCGGUGAAAUGCGUAGAUAUAUGGAGGAAUACCGGUGGCGAAGGCGGCCUCCUGGCUCGACACUGACGCUGAGGUGGGAAAGCGUGGGNAGCAAACAGC
Molecule: ribosomal RNA, 253 nt
Filed under: uncultured bacterium
Lineage: Bacteria
Description: partial 16S ribosomal RNA
Rfam family: Bacterial small subunit ribosomal RNA
Source: RNAcentral